Molecule: ribosomal RNA, 468 nt
Filed under: uncultured bacterium
Lineage: Bacteria
Description: partial 16S ribosomal RNA
Rfam family: Bacterial small subunit ribosomal RNA
Source: RNAcentral
GACGAACGCUGGCGGCGUGCUUAACACAUGCAAGUCGAACGGAAAGGCCCUGCUUUUGUGGGGUGCUCGAGUGGCGAACGGGUGAGUAACACGUGAGUAACCUGCCCUUGACUUUGGGAUAACUUCAGGAAACUGGGGCUAAUACCGGAUAGGAGCUCCUGCUGCAUGGUGGGGGUUGGAAAGUUUCGGCGGUUGGGGAUGGACUCGCGGCUUAUCAGCUUGUUGGUGGGGUAGUGGCUUACCAAGGCUUUGACGGGUAGCCGGCCUGAGAGGGUGACCGGCCACAUUGGGACUGAGAUACGGCCCAGACUCCUACGGGAGGCAGCAGUGGGGAAUAUUGCACAAUGGGCGGAAGCCUGAUGCAGCAACGCCGCGUGCGGGAUGACGGCUUUCGGGUUGUAAACCGCUUUCGACUGUGACGAAGCGUGAGUGACGGUAAUGGGUAAAGAAGCACCGGCUAACUACGUG